ACUAGCAUCCAUGAAUAUAUAUUUUCUGAAGGUAGGUCCCUAACUCAACGUUAUCCUGGUACGGCUACAGAGCGACGUAUCCGUAUCUGAUACGGCAACGGAUACGGAUACAUAUCGGAUAUGUUCCGAUACAUAUUCCGUACGUAUCCCACAUAUUCGCGAUUUAAAAAAACAAAAUAAAUCGAGAUAUGCCAGCGAUACGGCCGCGACGUGCCUCCGUCUUCGCUCGCAUCAGGGAUGCGCCGCCUCAUACGCUCCCAUCCUGAUGGCUGUCUCUCGUGCGUGCCCGGCGAUGCCACCAGAGACGCGGCUGCAGCAGCGCGCUUGGUUGCCGUGCGCGGGCCACAACGUCCUCUCCGCGAGACGGAAGAGCUGCCGCGGCUGGGCGGUGGCGCAUCUCCUUCGCCGCCAACCUCGGAGGCCACGACCGUUGCCGGGCAUAGCGGAGGCCGGUGGCAGGCUGGCCGCUGGCAACAUCAAAGCAAGGAGCUUUUUCAUUGUUUGCUUGAGUGCCUGGCCGGUUUUUAUUACUAGUACCAGCUCAGAAAGAGACAACAGCAGCGAGCGCACACACACGGACAUGGACAUGGCAUGGGCGGAUGGUCUCUCUCCGACUUCGUUUCCAAGGGCCCUGCUGCACUUGCACCCUGCACUGCACUUGCUUGCGGUUGCCGGCAAUCGACGUGUGUCUGUACUUGCCGUCGUGGAAUCGUCCGAUUUCACGACCAACUCAGCAUCAGCGAUGACAUGAACAGUCUGUGUGCAUGUGUGAUGGAUUGAGAUCAGGGUGCACUUCGAUAUUGCAAGUGCACACUAAAGAACUGCAAUGAAUCUGAGCCUUUCAUAUUUUAAUCUAAUGGUACAUGUUCGCUGCUA
Long non-coding RNA from Oryza sativa Japonica Group (Japanese rice), 876 nucleotides. RefSeq lists it as uncharacterized. NCBI's taxonomy places the organism in Eukaryota, Viridiplantae, Streptophyta, Magnoliopsida, Poales, Poaceae. The record is from RefSeq and is a predicted model, not a curated record.